UCGUUCCCGUUCGCUCGUCCAAAAAUCCCCAUCACGAUCUGAAAAUCCCCAUUGCCGUGAGGCUCCACCUAACCCACCUCCAUCCCCUGGCUUCGGCGCGCCUCCCGCCGACGGCCCUCCCAGCCCCAACGCGCCUCACGUCAUCGUCGCCCCGGCACCGGCCCCGGCAUGCCUCCCACCACCGGCGCCCAUCCCCCGACGUGCCUCUCGCCGCCGUCGCCCCGGCCCUGACGCACCUCUCUCCAUCCCCAGAUCGCCUCCCACUCCGCCCUCCAUCCCCAGCACGCCCCCACCAUCGGACCUCGGCUGGCGACCGCAUCCCCUGGCUCGGCUGCACGUGACCGGGAUACCUCGCUGGUGCACGCCACCUCCCUCCUCCUAAGGUGCUCCCUGUCCGAUCCACUCCACUGGUGUCCACGCCCCGACGCCGCCGGCGAGAGCCACCACUCCAUGUGCUCCUCUCUCAUCCAAGUUCAUGCAGCCCUGAUUCUCCUUGUGUUCUAUUGCAGGUUGGGAGCGGUGUGAACUUUGGACGGAUCAGUGGUUGGACCAUCAGCAGUUAACUGCACCAACGCGACUGACGCCACCUCGCACGCCUUCGUCUUCGUCGACGGCGGUCAGCACCUCCAACGCAAAUCGAUUCAGCGCCGUCUGUGCAUGGCUCGGCUCCUGCGCUCUGCUGCUGCCACGGGACCCAGUGCACCUCCCGUCCUCUGCUUUUCUCCGUGCGGAACUGUCUGUCUCGUGUCGCUGCUUGCACCUGCUACUGCUGGGAAUACGCUGUCCCGCGACGCCCUGUACUCAAUCUGUACCCGUGCUCUCUCUGGUCUCACGAACCAUCCCUACGGCCGCAAAGCUUCUCUUAGACCGGCCGCCAUGCAUCAAACUGAACUGCUGAGUUCAUUCCCCCAAAGUCCUGCAGAGCUUAUAGUAAAGAGGCGUACCCCGAUCUCCUCCGUUACUUAACAAUAUGGUGUGCUUUCUGAUGGAACGGACUCGUAGUAAACUAGGCAAAAAAUCUCAUGUUUAUGUGGAGACAAUUAGUGGCCUUAAUCACCCUAUCUGUGUAGCAGCCGCUACCUUCAAAACAUAUUGAUUUAAGCUGGGCCAUGGGUGAGAAGAGAUAAGUUGGGCCCAAAAGAAGUUGAUUUACGGCCAUGUUGACCAAUACGAUUUUAGAUUUAGAAAAUAUACAUGGUGGAAAAUAAAUCAGCAGACUAUAGUUAUGCCAACUAUUCAGACAUAUAGAAUGCGAAGUCAAAGCUCAGAAAAAACAAGAACACAAAAGCAUCAUUAAAUUGUUCUUUUGACGAUUUGUUUGACAAAGUAAGCAGAGGGAAUUCACUUAUAAUUUUCUUUUUGAAAAGUUCAGGAUCGCAUCCUAGAG
Molecule: long non-coding RNA, 1387 nt
Filed under: Triticum aestivum (bread wheat)
Lineage: Eukaryota; Viridiplantae; Streptophyta; Magnoliopsida; Poales; Poaceae
Description: long non-coding RNA (TAES_LNC014908)
Source: RNAcentral